GAUGAACGCUGGCGGCGUGCUUAACACAUGCAAGUCGAACGGUGAAUGCGGAGCUUGCUCUGCUGGAUCAGUUGCGAACGGGUGAGUAACACGUGAGCAAUCUGCCCCUGACUCUGGGAUAAGCGCUGGAAAGGGCGUCUAAUACUGGAUACGAGCUACGGAGGCAUCUUCAGCAGCUGGAAAGAAAUUCGGUCAGGGAUGAGCUCGCGGCCUAUCAGCUUGUUGGUGAGGUAGUGGCUAACCAAGGCGUCGACGGGUAGCCGGCCUGAGAGGGUGACCGGCCAAACUGGGACUGGGAUACGACCCAGACUCCUCCGCGAGGCAGCAGUGGAGAAUAUUGCACAAUGGGCGGAAGCCUGAUGCAGCAACGCCGCGUGGGGGAAGACGGCCUUCGGGUUGUAAACCUCUUUUAGCAGGGAAGAAGCGAAAGUGACGGUACCUGCAGAAAAAGCGCCGGCUAACUACGUG
RNAcentral lists this ribosomal RNA (468 nucleotides) under uncultured bacterium. Its description in RNAcentral is "partial 16S ribosomal RNA". It matches the Rfam family "Bacterial small subunit ribosomal RNA", at positions 28 to 507 of the family's 1533-position model. The record is from RNAcentral.